GAGGAAUAUUGCGCAAUGGGGGAAACCCUGACGCAGCGACGCCGCGUGAGUGAAGAAGGCCUUUGGGUUGUAAAGCUCUGUCAGAUGGGAAGAAGUGCAUUAUGGUUAAUACCCAUAGUGUUUGACGGUACCA
RNAcentral lists this ribosomal RNA (133 nucleotides) under uncultured bacterium. RNAcentral's name for it is "partial 16S ribosomal RNA". It matches the Rfam family "Bacterial small subunit ribosomal RNA", at positions 356 to 480 of the family's 1533-position model. The record is from RNAcentral.